AGGUCCACGUGAACAGCUUUCGCUUGCCACGCCGUGCACAAUAGAGGAGGGAAAAGACAAGGGGAAAAGGGGGGACGAAAAGUCAGGCACCAUCCUUGCUUUUUUUGUUUGCGUUAUCAUCCCGCACCCUCCCUUCCUGUCUCCCCUCCCUCUCCAAGUUCUGUUUUCUCCUGGUAUUUUUGUUGCUUUGGUGCGUGUGCACGUCUAGAGGAACCCGAGACACAAGUAAGUGUGAAGAGCGCGGCGCAGCGGGCACAACGUCGUCUCGAUAACCGCACUUUUUUUGUUGUCGGAGGCAGCGUAGGGGCGGAGUCCGCCAUCCCUGCUUCUCCGCCUCUCUCCACCUCUAUUCCUUUCUCUACCUUCCUUGUCACAGCUUCCUUCCUGCACACACACCCUCCCUCACCGCCUCCCCAUCACAGAGAAGAGCUUUUGCUUUGGGCCUGCGCAAAUAGAAAGACAAACAUAACCAGCGAGGCACUCUUCCUUCACCCCACCCUCCUUCACAGCCAGAACUAUAUACAAAACUCGGCGGAGAAACCAACAGCACCUUCACUUGCCCCCUUUUCCUCUUCUCACAGGUACCCGCACAAGCAUCAGCAGCCAUCUGCGCAACCUCUACCCCCAUUUCCGUUCCCCUUCACAGGAGGAACCCAAGCAGAAAACGCUUCAAGAAAGGAAGCGCCAAGGCACGACUUAGACUCGGGUGGAGGUCCUUCUUGACGUUUCUCGCGGCUCUCUAACUCCUCAGGACGGAAAGCUAAGCCGAUCACGCUUUCUCUGGUCUGUCUUACCAUUGUGUGCCUGUGCUGCGUGUGUUGCCUUUCUUCUGCUUUGUUGGCCUGUCUUCACUGUCUCUCGCUUCUCUCUUUUCUGUUUCAGGCUUCUUCUGUCGCUGCCUGAACUGGUCCCCGCUCCCUUCCUUUGCGCGUCUGCCCUCCUGUCUCGUUUCCAUCACUCUUCUUUGGUGCUCUGACUCCCUUUCCCCCUGCCGCUCCGCCACGUCGCCGCUGUUCGUUGUUUUUUUGUCCUUUUUUUUUUCGUUUCCUUCUGUGCUCUCUUUUGGUCGCAUCACAAACGUCUUUUCGUUGUUUUCUUCCCCUUCUCCUUCACUCCUUCCUUCUCACCUCUCCCUCUCGUGUUCUCUCUCCGCCCAUCUUCUGUCUUCCCUUCGCCCUCCCCUCUUUCUCUUCCGCUUGAUCUCGUUCGCUUUUCUGAUUCUCCUUUUCGUCUUUUCGGUGUGUCUGUGCAUCUGUGUUGCUUCUUACGCUGUCCGUUUUUUUUUUUGCUCUACUUCCUUGUGUUGCCUUUUCUUUGGGUGGGCGUGUGUGUCUCUGCACUUUCUGUUUGCGUUCCCUUUUGUAUAUCUCCCUAUAGCGCUUCCUUCACCUACUCCGCUGCCUUCCUCCAUUUUUAUCUUUGGCUUGGUUUUCACUUGUCUCUCCCCCUUCCCUUCUCUCCCCUCGCUUCCUCCUCUUCGCCUCUCCUUUUUCCUCUUUUUCGUUUCUCAAUUUUUUUCUCUCGUUCUUGUGCUCCCUUUAUUUUGUUUUCUACGCGUGCUCGACGGUCUCCCAGUGUCGGUGAGUUUUCCUCCCUUGUUCGUUGCGUUCUCGCGGUCUACUCUUGUAUUUGUGUGCUUUGUGCGUGUUGCCUUUUACUCCCCACCCACACCCACACCCACACACACACACCCACACACACUACCCCCUACCCUCUCCACCCUCCUCCUCUCUCGUUCUACGUUUCUGGUCUUCGUCCCUUUCUCGCGGUCUGUUUUUUUUUUUUUAGAAUCAUUUCUCUGUUCAUCGCUUUGCAUCUGUCUCUCGCUCGCUCGCUUUCUUGUGCGCGCGCGGCAUCAUUGGCAGUCACAGACACGGUCAUACACAUCCCCACCAACAAAAAAAAUAAGAACCGGUGCGCGUCUGCCGUGAUUUUGCGUUUCUGUCAGAGGUUACCGAGAACGAAAGAAAGACAACAGACAAGAUUCUCUUUCUCUUGUAUUUUUUUUUUGCUUUCUCGGGUUGGUGUCGUCGUUUAUUUCGAUCGCUUUCCACUGCUGCGGUUUGUAAUAUUGGUGCGUUUGUGUGUGCGUGUGUGUGCCUGCACUCUAUCGAUUGUUUCGCUCUUUCCUCUCCACUCUUUGCAUCUAACUCUUUUCGUCUUCUUCGUGUUGAACUUACUCACACUCGCAGAACGCAACCAAACAAGUGGCGAGGCUGUCGAAGCCAUACGGCGGUUGCCUGUGUGUGUCUCUCUCUCACACACCCUCUCUCCCUCCCAGAUUACAUAUCGUUUAUUUCUAUUUACACGCAGAUACACCGACCAUUCGAACUCUUUCGCUUUUCUCCCUCCUUCCCCUGUGAGUGCCCUCACUCCUCACCCCUCCCUCGCUCUCGCGCCCUCUUUCUUUGCCGUUUUACCUUCUUGUUGGUUCGUUUUUGCGCUGUCGUUCUAUCGUGUCUCUUUUGCGUUAUCCCCUUCUCCUCUGCCUCCCUCUUUUUUUGCUCACGGGACUUUUCGCCGACACGCUCAGUGCGCGGAAAACAAAGGCCUGAGGUGGUGAGCGCCUGUCUUUGGUAUCACAGCUUACUCAGAGAGACCUUGCUUGCGCGUGUGCGUACAUGGGUGUACGUCUUCUGCGCUUUUCUUAUUUUCACCCUUUUCGUGUAUUCACUCUUCACUCGCUUCCGUGCCUCUCCCUCGUUUGUGCGCGCGUUCACGAGGUGAUCAAACCACCUCCGGAAAGAUAAAGAAACAACCGUAAGGGGGGAGGGCGAGGGCUCUCAACAUCGCCAGCCUGCGUUACACAGACAUACAUACACGCACACACACACACACAUAUAUAUAUACUCACAUCCAUACAUACAUUUCGCUUUGUCUUUUCGGGUUGCAUUCUUCACGCGCACCCUCUACCCCCAUCAGUGCCUUGCCGCGUUACCAAAUCUACGUCUUUCUCUCUCUGUUUCUUGUAUAUACACGCACACACACAUACUCGUUGCGCUCCCUCUCCUCCUUUUCUUCGGUUUCGUCGCGCCGCUACGCUGUUUGCGCGCGCGAUCGCUGACUUUGUGCUGUUUUGUUUCUCGCUUUCGAGGUUACGCAUCCUCGUUCUUCUCUUCUGUCGCGCUGUCUGCGGCAAGCGCUGGGUGUUUGCCCCCCCCCCCACACACACACAUAUAUAUAUAUUUGUUUGUCCUCUCCCUGGUACUGUUUUCAUCCAUCCCCGCUCCACCUUUGCCUUUUUUUUUGCUUUGUGUUUCCUCAAGUCCAUCCCCCUUCCCCUCUCAACCCACGCUCAACAUCACCGUGACCGACCCUCUUACACUAAGAGAAGCACUUCUCACAGGAGAAGGCGGAAUGCAUACUCGCGGCGACAGCGAUGCACACGGUCAACCCCGCCGGCCGCUUGGCUGUGUCGAGUGCGACUUCAAAUGCAGCACUGGGAACGAGAUGAGCCGCCACAUUCACGCUACUCGACAUGGAGCGGUGAAGUGCCCCCUGUGUGACACCUACAUCGUGCCCCGCGGCUUCUUUGCAAGCCUGACAAAGCUGAUUGAGCGCCAUCGCGACCGCCAGCCGUCAGCGCCGGAAGCGAGCGUCUCACCGCCGCAUUUGUCGUCCUCUACCAGCGCGGUGGCUUCUACUUCUAGCGGAGGUGCUGGGCCUCUGACCUUGAUUGCCAUUACUCACGCCCACUGCAUCGGGCUGCCUGACUUCAAGUCUUAUGAAAAGGCAGAUUUCGAGCUACCGGGCUCAGCGCAGGACUACAGUCUCGCCGGCGACUUCGCGGGUGGCGCGCAAGGCCGAGGCACAAGCGCCGCCUUAGUCCCAUGUGAGCCAGACAACGCCGGAGGCUCCCGCACACCGUUUCGCUGCAUGGAGUGCUUGAAUCUUUGCGGCACGUGGACAAAGGCCACGAAGCACAUGGAUAAGAGUGGACACACCCUUCCCCUCUGCGUGCAGUGCUUGAUGCGUCUACGCUGCUUUGGCCCUCAGCGACCAAUAAAGCACGAGGAGAGCACCGGCCACUGUGGCUUCUACGGUGUCUUCUACACCCGCCGCGACUACCUCUGCGAGGUGCAGGCGCCGCGUAGCGUUUACAACUACAGCAACUCCUACACUGGGCUCUCCACACUCCAGUACAAGUGCGUGUGCGGCAUCUCCUUUCUCCACCCUCUGCACCUCGCGGAGCACCUGCGCCGGGUGCAUCACGCAACAUGCAUUAGGGACGAGGCUGUCUGUCGCCGCUGCGAUACACGUGGGACGCUAGCGGAUUUGAUGGUGCAUCUGCGACAGGGCUGCCCGCAGGUGACGCCGACCAUGCGAAACAACGGUAGCAGCACCACAUUCACCGACACUUCAGCCUCAUCGCUGGCAGGCAGCAAUAUGCGAUUACCGUCGAUGACGUCGCCAAAUUGCCCCACUGCACCGUCGAAAGACCAGGAGGACCAAGGUGGUGCAGGGGGAAGUGGCGGCGACAAUGCUGCAGUGACGCCGCCCGUGAUUGAGGUGCCCGGGUUCUCCGGCGCGUCGUUCCUGCAGUGGCGUCCGCUGCUGCCACCCAUGACGGCGGACGAUGUACCACUGAUGGACGAAUCCUACGCAAUGUCGGGGGACAUCAGCGGUUUUCGUGCACUUGCGUCGCAGCCGGCGUCAUCAUCAUCUCACGUGGCCACCGCCGAGGUUCGCAAGGCAUCUUACGUCGUCCUGUACCAGUGCCGUGAGUGCCUGUUUCUCUUUUCCAGCUGGGAGCGUAUGGUGCACCACAUUCACGCCACUGGGCACUGCAGUACGUACUGCUGCAAGUGCAGGUGCGACCUGCCGCAGCUGGUAAACCACCCAACGCCGCACGAGGCGAGCGGAGUGUCACGAUCUUCAACGCAGCUGCCAGCGUAUGGCGGCGCCGCCACAUCAGCGCCGCUAUUGGUUUGCUCCACCACGCUCAACGACCAUCUCGAUCAUCUACGUCGCUGCGGCGACAUCAUCGGCUUCCCCACAUCGCCGAGGAGUCUUGAGGUGCUCGUCGACGUGAACGCCGAGUGUUACCAGGGCUCUCUCGAUCCAUCACCGGACUUGUUUACGGGGGAUCGGGUCAUCAUGGCGUACCAGUGCCCGGCCGAGCAACUUGGCUGCUAUGAGGUUUUUCUGAACUACGGCAAUCUUGUAGAGCAUUUGAUGGCGACAGGGCACGGCUCGAACCCGUGCCCAGAUGACGCGGAAGGCUCCGACAACACCCUCGCAACGAGGCGACUCUCCUCCUGCUAUCCGAUGGUGGCCUAUCGGGCGAAGUUCACCGUGCUGCAGCUGCGCGAUCACUUCGGCUUCGUGCAGUGUUCCUACUGUGAAUCGGCCGUGCCGCGCGGGGAGGAGGAGCUGCACGAGGCGCUCUGCAUCAUGCGCCGCCGCAUGGGACACUAGUUCUGUUUUUCCGUGCGGGCGUAUUUGUAUGUUUAUUUCUGGAAAGAAGCAGCAGCGCACGAAGAGGCUUGCCGCAGCAGGGUGGCGAUUUCGCAGAUGCUCGGCCGCGUCAAGCUCACAAGAGGCGCAUGGGUAACAUUCGCUGAGCGAAAAUGGGGAAGCGAAACGCAAAGGCAACCUCGUAUGAGGAAAAAAGAACGAGCGGUGGCGGUGUGAGCUCAGCGGCAUCAGAGAGGGAAGGCGGAGGGGAGUCAGAAAAAGGAAGACACCGAAAAAGCGGUCAACGGCGUCUUUGGUGGCGUGCGUAUGUGCAUGUGUGGGUGUGAGUGUGGGUGAGAGAGAGACGCAUCUGUAGGCAAGUGUGGCUGUUGCAAAGGAAGCGCUCUCUGGAAGGCGGCUCUAUCAGAGGCGGUGGUGUGAAGCGGUGCUGUGAUGUCUGAGUGUGAGUGCUUCUGUUUAGCUUUCUUUUGUUAUCUGUUUCUUUGUCUGAUCCCUGAUGGUGCCGGCCACCUCAGUGCGAGGUAUCAGGGCCCCGCGCCCACUCUUUGUGGGGAGGACGAAAGUCGGCAGUCUCCCCUCGGGAACGGCUGCGGGCUCUUGGCUUCGGUGAAAAAGGUUGGGCUGGCGCUAUGCCGGACAGACUUGGGGUCAUGAUCCCGCUUGCGCUAGUCCACCACAAAUCGUGCCGACGACUCGACAAACAUAUGCUUCCGAGUACCCCUUUUCUGCUUUGGCUGCGUCGCGGUGAUGUGGAACAUGACCCAGGGCCUAGCCUGCACUGUACGCAGUCGCAUCGCGAUGGGCUGAACGACAUCAGACGGUGCCGGUCGGCCCUGUUCCUCGACAUAGCCAUGUUACAGCAUCGGCAGACGAACUGUGGUUGUGUAUGGGUCAAGUUGCUGACUGGCUUGUGGCAGAAGGCACACUUCGAAGGAAAUACAACAAAAAAAGGGUCUUUUUCUUCCUCCUUCGCUUCUUGAUCUUUUUUUCAUGUGAUGUGGUGUAAGCUCAUAGCCGACAUGGGUACCCGCGUGUGUGUGUGUGUGUGCGUGUGUAUGUGUAUGUGUGUGUGUGCGUGUACGUGAGUGUGUGCAUCCUUAUUAGUUCCUGUCCUCCGCGUGAAAGCGUUCUUGUGUGUUUGUGUGUGUGUGUGUGUCUGUGUCUUUGUUUGUUUUGCUGUCCUCUCCCUGGCGUGCGUAACUCACGAUUUCACGAUAGCCUCAUUACCGUCCACUCCCCUCUUUCUGUCACCUAAGUGCUCUGCUCUUCCUCUCUCGGGUAGCUUCCGCGUACGUGUGCCGUUGACUGUAAGUGUUUCGCUCUGUGUGUGUGCGUGUUUCUUUCCUCCUCCCCCUUCUAUUCCACUUUUAUUUUCAAGUGUGCUGGGUGUGUUCGUGCGUGCGUGUGUGUGUGUGUGUGCUGUUUCUUCUCGGGCCUUCCUUCCUUUUUUUUUCUCUUGUCUCACUGGCUUUCUUUGUUGUUGUUGCUUGUGCUAUGGUUGUCUUCUCUCCGCCAUCCCCUCAUCUCGCCCCCUCCUCCUCCUCCAUGUGUCUGCGCUUGUACUUUUUUUUUCGCGCGCGCCUGUAUGCGUGUGUGUGUGUGUCUCCCUGUGUGUGGCUUUUUUCUUGCUUGCUUAUUCUUCUCUUUAUAAUUUACGCCAUGGGUUUGUGUUCACGUUAUCGACAUUCUACACCUCGAAACGCACCUUCUCCUCUUCUCUGGAGUCUCACGUUGUACGAGAGAAUGGGGGGAGGGCAGGAGGAUGCUCACACACUUCUAUAGUUCACCCCCCCCCACCACCACCACCACCCCAUCCUCUCGACUUCUUUCUCUCCGCUGCGCCCCCGACUCUCACCGUCUUGCAUAUCGCCAUCCCUGUUACGUCCAAUCUCUCCUCUACGUCCCCCCUCUCCUCCUAGCUUCACCUUCUUGUGACAGCUCGUUGCACAUUCCUUUUCGUUUUCGAUUGCCCCUUCUUGUUUUCUCUUUGGUAGCGUCGCGAGAAAUAGGGAGAAGCGAGGCGGGGCUUUGCCUCUCUCUCUCCCUCCGUGAUGCAGACGACGGCAGACGCCCCUGAGUGUUACUGGUUUGGGCUUUCGCUGUGCAGAUGCAUGAGGAGCAGAGGAGAAGGAGGUUGUGUUCACCUAUAUGAAGGAAGUGAUCGGCCGCCUUCCCUUUUCCUUGCUGCGAGUGUGUAUGUUUUUUUUUUUUUACCCUCGUACUCUCACGUUGACGAUGAUCCUGUUUGUGGCGCUGCUCGACACUGUUGUGGACAGUGGCGGUGUGCGACUGCCGGUGGCAAGUGGGGAAGGGAGGGAGGGAGGGGCAAGAAAGAGGAGAGAAAGUCCAUUUUUUGAUGUGUUCGCGCUUUUUUUCGGCUGGUGUUGUUUCUCUUCCGCUGUGCUGUCUCAGAUCUGUCGUGUGCACUUUUUUCUUUCUCUUAGAGGAGGGUAGGAGGGUUUGUGUGAAUGCGUUACUGAGCAGGUGUGUGCGUGGGGGGGGGGGAACUUGUGCGCCGUCUUUCCGUUAGUUUGUCUCCUUUUCCUUUUGUUGUUUUUGCAGCUUUUUCGUCUUUUGUCGUUGCUCGUUUUCGUCCUCUUUUAUCGUUUUUUUCUCUUCCUUGCUUCUUCUGUCACUCCUGCCCCCUCCCCUCUCUCCUCUCCUCUCCUCUGUGUUUUCCCCUUCUUUCGGGUUUUUUUACCCUUUCUUUCUUCUUUUGUUUUUUUUCGUUGCUCCUCGCCAAACCACAUACGGCAACCUCCCAAAGAUUUCGCUCUUCGCUUCCCUUUUUCUUGUUGUUCCGCACCUGUCUGUGUGUGUGUGUGGUGGGUUUCAUCUCGCUCUUUUGUGCCCCAUAUGCUUGUGUCUUGAUUUGGCUGCUUCUCAUUCCCCUCUUCACCGCCGUCUUUUUUUUUUCUGUCUUGUCCUUUGCUUACUUCCACAAACUGUCGCCCCUUCCUCUACCCUUCCUCUCUCUUCCUCUCCGUGCCUUGCCCUCUCGCCCUUCUUUCCCAGCCUCCCUUUCCUCCACCUGUUUGUCCGCGCGUCUUCUGCUCGCUGUGUGUGUGUGUGUGUGUGUGUCUUUCUCUCUACGCGCUAUUUGCCCCGCGCGCUACAUUGCUUCUGGAUGCCGGUCGUCGUUUCUCUGUCGUGCUGUGCCAGGGGAGUGAAGGGACGCUUUCUCUUUUCACCUCUGCGUGGUCGCAUGUUUGGCCUUUUCUUCUGCCAAAGUUCUCCAUAGGCGGCAGAGGAGGGGAGAGAGGAAAGUCGGAGGGAAACGGUCACCAGUGCGCGUACACGUAGGCACCCUCAUUUGCCUUUGUUGGUGUGUUCUCUCUCUCUCUGCCGCGGUCGAUUUCAACUUAGCACUUCCUUUUUCAUUCCUCUCCCUCUGCGCGCGCCCUCUCUCGUCGUCUCGUCUACCUCUUUUGUUGUUGCCGAUGUUCUCAUUCACCCUCCCUCCCUUAACCUCCGCUGUAGACGCGAUGAUGCCCCAAUUCUUUGUCUUACUGAGUGGGCGUGUUUUUUAUUUUAUUAUUGUUAUUUAGUGUGUGUAUCACAGAGGGGUUUCUGCGGGCUUGCCGGUUUCAGAAGAACAAGAAAGCCCGUCUUUCGCCUCCCCUAUUCCUCUUUCUGUCCCCCUCUCCGAGCACGCUAUCACCGCUUUUCCAUCUUUUCCUUUAUUUUCGAGCCAUGACGCCCACACGGCUGAGGUAUAUGUAGAUGAGAAACGGAUACGCACAGACAGCCUCCCACGAUGCUCGGCAUCUACCUUUGCUUUUUCUUCAUGGCCACCACGCUAGCCAUGAACCUUUCUGUGGGCUUCAGCACGUCGCAGAGCACGAAGAUGCUCACACAGAUUGCUCUUUUUUUUUACUCGCCUCCUGCUUGCGCUGGUAUUGCUUUUCGGAAUAGGCAUAUCGCCUAUCAACUUGUUUUGUCCAUCUGACGCCUUCACAGACUCGUUCUCCAGCCCUCCCUGCAUUCCCUGCGAUUUCGCCCUAUGACAUCAUUGGCCAUGUUGCCCAUUUUUCCUGCUCUCUCUCUCGCCUUAUUGCGAUCUGCUCCUACGCAGGUGGGCGGGGGUGAUAGUGUUCACUGACGCUUGUCUGCGUGUGCCCGCGCUACGUGGCGCUAGCUCUCUUUUUUUUUUGCUUCGCUGUGCUCAUGUUACGUUCUUCUUGCCUGAACUUCCGUUUCUCACCGCCUUCUUCACCACUACCAUCAUGCGCAAGUGCCUGCCUGAGUUUGUGCGCACCCUCUUCUCUGUCUGUUUCUGUGCCCAUGCCACGAGAGGUCGGCGCACACGCACACGCAGACGUCUUCACUGACUAUGUUGUCCCUCCUUCGUUAACUUUUACUUCGAUUUUCACAUCAUGCUACGUCUGUCUCUUCACUUCAUGUGUUCCUCCCAAAGUUGCGUUGUUUCUCUCACACACACACACACACACUUUCCGUCUUCUCCGCGCGGUCUGCUUCGGCUGUACGAGUUGUGUAGCCUCUCGUGAUGGAGCCUUCUCUCUCCUCGUCGUUAGCGCCUACACGCUCGCGCUUGCCUUCACCACUUGAGUUCCUUCUUCGCUUCUUCUUCGACUGAUAUACCAUCUUCCUUUUUGUGUGUGUGUGUGCGCGCGCGUGCCUCGAGCCCCGUUGAUUGCUGUCGACUUUCUCCAUGUCCUCUCUUCUCCCUUUCCUCCUUUUCGCGUGCUCUUGUUUUUUUUUGUCGUGUGUGCGUGUGUGUGCUCACUGGGGAUAAAAAAGUUUCUUUGUUCGUGUUUCUGUCUUUGCUCUUCUCAUAUGCGCACGUGUCUGUGGAUUUCCACGCAUGUGCAGGAAGAGCGGGCGAUGACCCAACGGUUCAUCUUCAGCGCGGCGUACAGAAGGGGAAAAUACGAAGCAGCGGCUGCUGCGCGCUCAUCCAGACUUUGUCUACACAUGGAGAAAAAAAAAUGAUUGCCUGUGAGCGUGUGCAACCACCUGUAAGUACGUCGGCGUAGGCGUUUUCUGUGACUGUGUGAGCGCGUGCACCCAGCUUGGAUAGCCCUCAUCUCCGUUUGUUCCUCUUCCUUUGUUUCCUGUGUGUGCGCGCUCACACAGGUGAGCGUCUUUCCGCGCGUUGUGUUUGCAUGUGCGUGCGUGGGUGCCGUUUUGUGCGCAUAUCUGCACCGGUGGAAUGAACGUCUUUUUUUGUUCGAUCGUUUUUCCGGUUUCCUUCCUCUUGCCUUGUCGACUCAGUUCUCUCUCGAAUUUUCCGCCUCUCCUAUCUCUACACCCCCUAAGCGGCUCUUUCCUUUCAUUUUAUUUUCUCAUUUUGGUGCCCUCAUCACCGCACGUGGAAGCCGCUCUUUUCUUUCUUUUUGUCACACUUGUCUGCACCCCCACCCGCUCAUGACGUGCGGGGAUGGGGAGGAGCCACUUCAGCGUGGCAUCUCAGGACACAGGGGGGGGCGCUCGCUCUCUCUCUCUGUGUGCGGAGGAGCGAAGCAGCCCCCCACCGCCCACCCUCUUCGCUAUCCCUGCCAAUGCGAGGCCACUUCUGGUGGUGGCAAGCUCAAACGCGCCGUCAUGAUGUGUCGGAGGCGCCAGAGCGAUGCGUCGCUGCUGACGCCGGCGGCCAGGUCCCGGAGUGGGGCGGUGUCGGUGCGACCUGCGACCGUGAACACGUCUGUGCCGCCCACAUCGAUGGGCAAAGCGCCAGCGGGAGUCGAGCGAAUCCCACCCAACCCUCACACCGCCCACUGCGGGGGGGGGCCGAGGUGUCGCCCCGCGAGGGGUGCACCGCAGGGGUGGCGGCCGGCAUAACGGGCUGGCUGUGAGGCGGCCUGCACAGCGGCGGGUAGUGCGUAGAGUGCGAGCGCGGUGCCGGGUGGAGAGAAGCUUGGCUCAUGUCGUGCGGCAGAGAACGAACACGUUGGAAAAACAAAAUGUGUAGUUUUUCCGGCAUCGACCUCCCUCCUCCUCUUCAUUUUUUCUUUGCUUUUUAGCGGGUGUUGUGAGGGUCCUCGUCCGGUCAUCAGGAUCCACCAGACCUGAGUGAAUCCAUCCCGCACGCUUCUGCUCGUCCCUACUGGACAGUGUGGCUAACCCGCCCUCUCUCUCUGCGUUCAUCUCUUACGCUUUUACUAAUUUACGAAAGGGUUGGGGAGAAGGCGAGCUGCGCUAUCUUCGCCCCUCCCUUCCCCACAACCAGCUUUCUGCGUUCCCCCACCCCACCCACCCACAGAGCUACUUACAUGCCGCUAGGCAGUCAAACAGAAUGCGCCGUGCGCGUGCAUAUCGCCGGUUCGCCGUCUCUCGAUCGCGCUCGGUCCCUUUCUCUCUUCCUCCCUCUCUCUCUCCCUCCCUCCCUCCCUCGCUCUCUCUCUUCCCCUACAUGCACAGGGCUAGUGUUUUCUCGUGUUCUUCGUCAUUCCCUGUUUGCCUUAUUUCGGUGUUAUUUUUCUUUUGCCUUUAACAUCUGGACGGGACCGCUUCGCUUGCUUCUUCUCCCUCCCGCCCGCCCAUCUCUCUCUAUACUCUGCAACAACACCGCUUGCUUACCUAUCUUCCAUCUCUUUUUGUGCGGUUGUGUUCGCCCGCCAUGCUUCUCUUUAUUUUCCCAUCUUCUUCCUGCAAUACACCGGAGAGGUGCAGAGCCGAAAAAGACAAUCAGCAGCGCGUCAUCUCUUUCAGCUCUGUGCUGCGUGGUAUUGCGCUCUCGCUCUAUGUUUUGUGUUUCCUUUCGAGCACUGAACUUCUCCACCCACGCCACCCACCCCUCUUUCUUGCAUGCACAUAUACGCACACACACACAUGCAGAACCCAUACAUGCAAGAGAAAAAGAAACAUGCAGGCCUUCACUGGACAGAUGGCGAAGUAUGGCUAGUCGUUUCUUUCUUUUCCGGCGUUUCUCGUUGUCUGCACUCACGUUCUUUCGUGUGUGCGCGCGCCAAAGAGGCGGUCGCACAAGACGGUGGGGGAGAGAGAGACAGCGGCAGUACUGCAGAGGACUCCGCACGUAUUCUUGUCUGCGUACGAUCCCUGCGUGAGUGGCAUCAGAGUGAACUUGGUGCUGAGCGCCGUGCGCACGCACUAUCUGCCCCUUCCCAUCCCCCUUUCCCCGCACCCACCUACUGCUCGCCACUCUCCUUCUCUUGCAGCCGUUUUCUUGAAGUACCUGUCUUUGGAUGUUGGGCUUUUUUGUCUCGCUCGCUCACACCUCUCCUCUUCACAUGCGCAUACAAUCUUUUUUUUUCUAAGUCUUACUGUGCUUCGGCGUCUCUUAUUUAUUUUUCGUUCUCCUUUUCCGUGCAUGACGCAUCUGCCGUCUUCUUUGGCCCGCUACCUCCCUCUUCCCCCCUCCCUCUCGCCUUCUUUUCUUUUGUGUCGUCGUUUCGGCGGCAGCGAAGGGGGGAGACGAUGGGUUAAGCACCGUGCACCGGCACAGUUGUGUCGGCGUGUGUGCGUGCGUGCGUGCGUGUGUCUUAGCGCGCCUGACUUCAUGUAAGUUUGAAGGGUGACGAAACGAAGCGAGGUGAUUUCUGGCAACGCUGAGCUCAUCCGUUUCCAUCUUUGUACGACAGGCCCGCACGCACACACACACACACACACACACAUGCGCGAGCAGCAUGAACAUACAGCCAAGAAAGAGUUGCCCGGAAGAGCAGUACGACAGUAACGCAACCAGAGCAGAAGUUUGUUUGUUUUUUAUUAUUUCCUCACAUCACCCUCCCCCAUUUUCUCUCCUCAUCGUUCAUAUUUUAUGCUCAAUGUGUUCACCCUCCCCCUUUUCCGUCUCUAUCUUUCUAUUCUGUUGGUGUUUUUACGUUCUCUUGUGUUUCCUGCGUUAUCUAUAGUGCUCCUCCUCUUUUUUAACGUCUUGUAUGCUGAUCCUCCUACUCCCCUCUUCCAUUACCACUUGCCCACUGUUUGCCUCUCUCGUACACCUCUUUCCACGAGUCUCCUCCUCUCUGCACUCUAUGCUUGUUAUUUCUGUUGUUCUUGUGUAUGCAUAUGUGUAUGUAUGUAUUGUGUUUAUGCGAGACGGGCCUCCCUCCCCUCCCUCAUUACCCCAUCCCACAUAUUUUGCAUCCUUUUCCCUCUCCGACACUCACUCGCUCUCUUCGUUUCUCUUUUUUUUUUCUUAUUUUCUUGUGUUCUGUGGUGAUUGUGUUCGUGUUCUCGUUUCCCCCUCCCCUUUCCACCCUUCGUCCUUGUCUGCAUGUGCCUGUGCUGUGCGAUUUCUCUUCUCCGCUCCGUUCCUCCUCUCUAUUUCUGGGGCUCUUUAUUCCCACCUCCCUCCUCUCUCUCUAACCCCCCCCGGUGUCUCUCUCCCUCUCGACUUCGCUGUUUUACACGUUUUUGCUAUUUGCCUUUUCCUCUCCUUCAUCCUUCCUCUACUCCCUCUCCUCCCCACUCUCUACCCCCCAAACCUCCCUGUCCCCUACCUUUCACCUCGUUCUUGCUUUCAUGUGUUUACCCCCACAAGCACUACAUCUCUGCGCUCCCCUCUCCCCUCUUCUCUCCGGUAAGUUUGUGUGUACGUGCGUGUGCACUGCUGCGUUCUUUACCUCUCCCUCCCCUCACCCCCGGGUCAUCUUCCACAGACUUUGGUCUUCUUCCUCGCAUUUGUAUUGGCGUCUCGUACCUCCCGCUGAGUUGUUUUCCUUCGUCUCUUCCUCCUACGCUCUAACAGUCACUCAUUGGGUUGUUUUCUUCGCUUCCUGUCUGUUUCUUCCAUUGUUUUCGUCUGCGUGUCUGUUAGGGUGCUUUUGUGCGUGCGUAUGCGUGUGUGUGUGCGUGUGCAUGUGUGUCCCCCCGCGUGGGCGCGUGCGGACCGUUCGUGCCCAUCUCGAAUUUGGGUGGAUGCCCGUUCGCCGUCCACGCGGGUACGGCGUGCGUGCGUGCGUGCGUGCGUGCGUUUUUGUCUUUGUUAGUCUGCGUGUUUUCGUUGAAGUCGUAAUUACUUCACAGGCGACGUAUGCUUGGUAAUGAUGAGGCGCGGUAAGAGCAGCAGUUG
This 14416-nucleotide unclassified non-coding RNA is filed under the name Leishmania donovani. RNAcentral describes it as "gene:LdHU3.28.0520(CDS-product:hypothetical_prote in_conserved)". The record is from RNAcentral. Lineage: Eukaryota; Euglenozoa; Kinetoplastea; Trypanosomatida; Trypanosomatidae.